Molecule: long non-coding RNA, 693 nt
Organism: Lathyrus oleraceus (garden pea)
Lineage: Eukaryota; Viridiplantae; Streptophyta; Magnoliopsida; Fabales; Fabaceae
Exons: 2
Source: RefSeq, a predicted model, not a curated record
CUAUUUAUUUACCGUGAGUAGUUGUGUAAUAUACGAGUUUUCUAUUUAAAUUAUAACUUAAUAAAUAGUCGAAUUUUAUUUUCAAUAUAAUUUUUUUUAAGUGAGUACUAUAUAAAGAGCUUGAAGUUUAGCAUUCAUAAUGCAGAACAAAAGAGAAUCAUAGAGUUGAAAGACAAAACCUUCAGAAAAAAUGGCAAUGCACAUUAGCAAACUUUUUCUCUUGGGACUUUUAUGCAUUGCAUUGGUCCUAUCUUCCGGUGAGAAACUAGGAGCAACCGGUAACAUUGCAGGUGAGAUAUGCAUUGGUGGACCAUGUCAAGAUUGCGGCAGAAGAUGCCUUAUAUGGGGAUUUCAGAAAGGUGGCUGUAAUUUAAGUUCAUUGUGUUGUUGCAGUGAUCCUUUUUGAAAUAAAUUACAUUAUAAAUAUAUAUUACGUAAUAUCGAAUAAUAUAAAUAAGACACAUUUUCUUCCAAAUCUUUUAUUUUCAUGCUUGAAGCAUACAUACUUGAUGUAUGGUUUGAGCAGAAGUAAAAGUGGAAGAUUUGAAAGAAGAAUGACUUCUUCAACUUAAAGACAUGGCGUAUAGAAUUAUGCAUUCAAGAAUUGGGGUGAAAACUGUAUCGAUUUAAAUAUUAUGUAUCAUGGGUGUAAAUUAUAGUUUAUAUCCAAUGAAACAUUAGUAUUUUAUUUUA